UACAGAGGUCUCAAGCGUUGUUCGGAUUCAUUGGGCGUAAAGGGUGCGUAGGCGGCGCGGUAAGUCGGGUGUGAAAUCUCGGAGCUUAACUCCGAAACUGCAUUCGAUACUGCCGUGCUUGAGGACUGGAGAGGAGACUGGAAUUUACGGUGUAGCGGUGAAAUGCUUAGAUAUGACAUAGAACACCAAUAGCGAAGGCAGCUUGCUACACGGUAAUUGACACUCAGGCACGAAAGCGUGGGGAGCGAACAGG
RNAcentral lists this ribosomal RNA (253 nucleotides) under uncultured bacterium. RNAcentral describes it as "partial 16S ribosomal RNA". It matches the Rfam family "Bacterial small subunit ribosomal RNA", at positions 524 to 776 of the family's 1533-position model. The record is from RNAcentral.